RNAcentral lists this ribosomal RNA (396 nucleotides) under uncultured bacterium. RNAcentral's name for it is "partial 16S ribosomal RNA". It matches the Rfam family "Bacterial small subunit ribosomal RNA", at positions 523 to 918 of the family's 1533-position model. The record is from RNAcentral.
AUACGUAGGUGACAAGCGUUAUCCGGAUUUACUGGGCGUAAAGGGCGUGUAGGCGGUCUUGCAAGUCAGAAGUGAAAUUCCUGAGCUCAACUCGGGCGCUGCUUCUGAAACUGCAGGACUUGAGUGCUGGAGGGGAUAGCGGAAUUCCUAGUGGAGCGGUAAAAUGCGCAGAUAUUAGGAAGAACACCGGUGGCGAAGGCGGCUAUCUGGACAGUAACUGACGCUGAGGCGCGAAAGCGUGGGGAGCAAAAAGGAUUAGAUACCCUGGUAGUCCACGCUGUAAACGAUGAUUACUAGGUGUUGGGGACCAAAGGUCCUCGGUGCCGCCGCAAACGCAUUAAGUAAUCCACCUGGGGAGUACGUUCGCAAGAAUGAAACUCAAAUGAAUUGACGGGG